Long non-coding RNA from Motacilla alba alba, 955 nucleotides. RefSeq lists it as uncharacterized. The record is from RefSeq and is a predicted model, not a curated record. The transcript has 4 exons. Lineage: Eukaryota; Metazoa; Chordata; Aves; Passeriformes; Motacillidae.
CACGCCCCGUCCCUCCCGCCUGGGAGGCGACAGUGCCGAGAUGCGUCAGAGAAGCAGCGGCUCAGGGCAACGCCCCUAUCGCGGGGUAUCCUGGAAAGCUGUGUGAAAUCUUCCAAAGAAGAAAGCAAUUUCUACCCAAUUAGGAAUAUCCAACUUCAAAAUAAUCACUAAGUGUAGGAACCUCAGCACCCUUUCCUGUAUCCUGAGGUUUUCAACUGAGGAUCCUGCAUUGAGACCCCACACAAGCCUUUGAGCAAGGACUCCUAGAAGUGAGCAACAUGUUGAAUGGAGGUAAAUACUGCAAUGGAUUUGGUUCCACAGAGAAUGCUGGAAGGAGAAAGAAGUGAAGAAAUAAUCUUCACAAUAAUUUCCUAAGAUUUUUUUUCUGAAAUUAUACUGUUGCAUUGUCAUCUAUGUAUGGAAGGUACAAUAACUUUCUUUUUUUAAAAACACUGUAGAAACAUCUAGAAGCAAUAUCCUAUCAUGUCCUGCAGUUUUGAGAAUUACUCUGUCCCAUGUAGCAUGUUGCAUUUGCUUUUAAAUAACAAAUGCUCCCAGGUACAACUAAUCUCAGGUGAUGGGUAGGAGUUGGAGCCUCAUGCAUAUCUCUGUUGGAUCAACUUGGAUCAGUUCCCAUCUGUGACCUUGGACAAGGAAUUUCUGCCUUCAGGGUUUUGCAGAUUGGUUGUUUUACUGACAAAUUGCAUGCUAUGGGGAAGCAUGAUGACACCUUCACUAGAGUGAAGAGGGAUAUUGGAACACACCCAGCAUUUUGAAAUAUUUAAGUCUUUAGUGUAAUGGUAGGCCAACUGAAGAAAGGUAUUUUAAUCUUAUGCAAAGAUGAAAAAAUUUUCAACUGUUUGAGGGCAGAGCCUGUUUAUGGAUCUGAUGCUGUUGAUAUUGAGUCCUGUGUGUGUCACUUUGGUGUGGACUCAGGUCUGUGGUCCACAAUAGU